This 256-nucleotide ribosomal RNA is filed under the name uncultured bacterium. RNAcentral's name for it is "partial 16S ribosomal RNA". It matches the Rfam family "Bacterial small subunit ribosomal RNA", at positions 524 to 776 of the family's 1533-position model. The record is from RNAcentral.
UACGUAGGGCGCAAGCGUUAUCCGGAAUUAUUGGGCGUAAAGAGCUCGUAGGCGGUUUGUCGCGUCUGCCGUGAAAAGUCCGGGGCUCAACUCCGGAUCUGCGGUGGGUACGGGCAGACUAGAGUGAUGUAGGGGGGAGACUGGAAUUCCUGGUGUAGCGGUGAAAUGCGCAGAUAUCAGGAAGAACACCUAUGGCGAAGGCAGCUCUCUGGGACGGUACUGACGCUGAGACGCGAAAGCGUGGGGAGCGAACAGG